AGUAACCUGACUUGGAGUGGGGAAUAACAGCUGGAAACAGCUGCUAAUACCGCAUAAUGCAGUUGGGUCGCAUGGCUCUGACUGCCAAAGAUUUAUCGCUCUGAGAUGGACUCGCGUCUGAUUAGCUAGUUGGCGGGGUAACGGCCCACCAAGGCGACGAUCAGUAGCCGGACUGAGAGGUUGGCCGGCCACAUUGGGACUGAGACACGGCCCAGACUCCUACGGAAGGCAGCAG
This 235-nucleotide ribosomal RNA is filed under the name uncultured bacterium. RNAcentral describes it as "partial 16S ribosomal RNA". It matches the Rfam family "Bacterial small subunit ribosomal RNA", at positions 120 to 354 of the family's 1533-position model. The record is from RNAcentral.